AUUCGAUUUCUAUUCGAUUUUGACAUUAUUAACUUAGGAGAAUCGGGCCCCUGACAUUUCCUUGCGGAUUAAAAGAUAUUGCACCAUGCUGACACUACACGACACUAUAAAAAUAUUGUGCAAUGAUUAUCAGCUCCAGUUAAUUUUGCACUGUUCGUCAAGUAUUACGCAAUAAUCACAAUAUUGAUCGUCUUGCUAGGUUUGGGAGCUCCAUAGCUCUACAAUGCAAAUCUUCGUAAAAACCCUGACGGGUAAUACCAUCACCCUCGAGGUGGAGGCUUCAGACACUAUUGAGAAUGUGAAGGCAAAUAUUCAGGACAAAGAGAAUAUCCCGCCAGACCAGCAACGUCUUAUCUUCGCCGGUAAACAGUUGGAAGAUGGCCGCACUCUCACAAACUACAACAUUCAGAAGGAAUCCACAUUCCACUUGGUGCUCAGGCAGACAGGAGGAAGAGGUUGGAUUUAUGGACCCGAACGUAUACUAGCCCAGAAACAUUUAUUGAUGAAAAUGAUUUGUCGAAAAUGUUAUGGUCGUCUUCCCAUGGGUGCUACCCAUUGUCGUAAAGCUAAGUGUGGCUUCUCCACUGACCUACGUCCCAAAAAGAUGGCACCGUACAUGUGGUGAAAUUGUGUGGUUUAUCAUAUAUUGAGAUUGCAGAUGCUCAUAAUAUAAAAUUUUAUAUUCCCAAGCUUAAGUGCAAGCAGCCUAAAAGUAUACUAAUAGCGAUAAUGUCAAGGUAUACAAUGCAAAUCUUCGUAAAAACCCUGACGGGUAAGACUAUCGCCCUCGAAGUGGAGGCUUCAGACACUAUUGAGAAUGUGAAGGCAAAGA
This 832-nucleotide unclassified non-coding RNA is filed under the name Helicoverpa zea (corn earworm). RNAcentral's name for it is "polyubiquitin, transcript variant X8". The record is from RNAcentral. Lineage: Eukaryota; Metazoa; Arthropoda; Insecta; Lepidoptera; Noctuidae.